AUUGAACGCUGGCGGAAUGCUUUACACAUGCAAGUCGAACGGCAGCACGGGGGCAGCCCUGGUGGCGAGUGGCGAACGGGUGAGUAAUGCAUCGGAACGUGCCCGGUCGUGGGGGAUAACGUAGCGAAAGUUACGCUAAUACCGCACACGAUCUGAGGAUGAAAGCGGGGGACCUUCGGGCCUCGCGCGAUCGGAGCGGCCGAUGUCAGAUUAGGUAGUUGGUGGGGUAAAGGCCUACCAAGCCGACGAUCUGUAGCUGGUCUGAGAGGACGACCAGCCACACUGGGACUGAGACACGGCCCAGACUCCUACGGGAGGCAGCAGUGGGGAAUUUUGGACAAUGGGCGCAAGCCUGAUCCAGCCAUUCCGCGUGCAGGACGAAGGCCUUCGGGUUGUAAACUGCUUUUGUACGGAACGAAAAGGCUCUGGCUAAUACCUGGGGCUCAUGACGGUACCGUAAGAAUAAGCACCGGCUAACUACGUG
Molecule: ribosomal RNA, 484 nt
Filed under: uncultured bacterium
Lineage: Bacteria
Description: partial 16S ribosomal RNA
Rfam family: Bacterial small subunit ribosomal RNA
Source: RNAcentral